UACGUAGGGGGCUAGCGUUGUCCGGAUUUAUUGGGCGUAAAGAGCGUGUAGGCGGCUAGGUAGGUCUGCUGUGAAAACUCGAGGCUCAACCUCGAGACGUCGGCGGAAACCAUCUGGCUAGAGUCCGGAAGAGGAGAGUGGAAUUCCGUGGUGUAGCGGUGAAAUGCGCAGAUAUCAGGAAGAACACCCGUGGCGAAGGCGGCUCUCUGGGACGGUACUGACGCUGAGACGCGAAAGCGUGGGGAGCAAACAGG
Molecule: ribosomal RNA, 254 nt
Filed under: uncultured bacterium
Lineage: Bacteria
Description: partial 16S ribosomal RNA
Rfam family: Bacterial small subunit ribosomal RNA
Source: RNAcentral